RNAcentral lists this unclassified non-coding RNA (380 nucleotides) under uncultured Penicillium. RNAcentral describes it as "sequence contains ITS2". The stretch from base 1 to 154 matches the Rfam family "5.8S ribosomal RNA". Lineage: Eukaryota; Fungi; Ascomycota; Eurotiomycetes; Eurotiales; Aspergillaceae. The record is from RNAcentral.
AACUUUCGACAACGGAUCACUUGGUUCUGGCAUCGAUGAAGAACGCAGCGAAAUGCGAUACGUAAUGUGAAUUGCAGAAUUCAGUGAAUCAUCGAGUCUUUGAACGCACAUUGCGCCCUCUGGUAUUCCGGAGGGCAUGCCUGUCCGAGCGUCAUUGCUGCCCUCAAGCACGGCUUGUGUGUUGGGCUCCGUCCCCCGAUUCCGGGGGACGGGCCCGAAAGGCAGCGGCGGCACCGCGUCCGGUCCUCGAGCGUAUGGGGCUUUGUCACCCGCUCUGUAGGCCCGGCCGGCGCUUGCCGAUCAACCAAAUUUUUAUCCAGGUUGACCUCGGAUCAGGUAGGGAUACCCGCUGAACUUAAGCAUAUCAAUAAGCGGAGGCU